CCUACGGGUGGCAGCAGUGAGGAAUAUUGGUCAAUGGGCGCGAGCCUGAACCAGCGAAGCCGCGUGAAGGAUGACUGCCUUCCGGGCUGUAAACUCCUUCUACAAGGGAAUAAAGUGCGGCACGUGUGUCUUUUUGUAUGUACUUUAUGAAUAAGGAUCGGCCAACUCCGUGCCAGCAGCCGCGGUAAUACGGAGGGUCCGAGCGUUAUCCGGAUUUAUUGGGUUUAAAGGGAGCGUAGAUGGGUUGUUAAGUCAGUUGUGAAAGUUUGCGGCUCAACCGUAAAAUUGCAAUUGAUACUGGCAGCCUUGAGUACAGUUGAGGUAGGCGGAAUUCGUGGUGUAGCGGUGAAAUGCUUAGAUAUCACGAAGAACUCCGAUAGCGAAGGCAGCCUACUAAACUGCCACUGACGUUGAUGCUCGAAAGUGUGGGUAGCAAACAGGAUUAGAUACCCGUGUAGUC
Molecule: ribosomal RNA, 460 nt
Filed under: uncultured bacterium
Lineage: Bacteria
Description: partial 16S ribosomal RNA
Rfam family: Bacterial small subunit ribosomal RNA
Source: RNAcentral